AUUGAACGCUGGCGGCAGGCCUAACACAUGCAAGUCGAGCGGUAGAGAGAAGCUUGCUUCUCUUGAGAGCGGCGGACGGGUGAGUAAUGCCUAGGAAUCUGCCUGGUAGUGGGGGAUAACGUUCGGAAACGGACGCUAAUACCGCAUACGUCCUACGGGAGAAAGCAGGGGACCUUCGGGCCUUGCGCUAUCAGAUGAGCCUAGGUCGGAUUAGCUAGUUGGUGAGGUAAUGGCUCACCAAGGCGACGAUCCGUAACUGGUCUGAGAGGAUGAUCAGUCACACUGGAACUGAGACACGGUCCAGACUCCUACGGGAGGCAGCAGUGGGGAAUAUUGGACAAUGGGCGAAAGCCUGAUCCAGCCAUGCCGCGUGUGUGAAGAAGGUCUUCGGAUUGUAAAGCACUUUAAGUUGGGAGGAAGGGCAGUUACCUAAUA
This 435-nucleotide ribosomal RNA is filed under the name Pseudomonas sp. R-26735. Its description in RNAcentral is "bacterial SSU rRNA". It matches the Rfam family "Bacterial small subunit ribosomal RNA", at positions 30 to 465 of the family's 1533-position model. The record is from RNAcentral. Lineage: Bacteria; Pseudomonadati; Pseudomonadota; Gammaproteobacteria; Pseudomonadales; Pseudomonadaceae.